ACUCUUAUGAGUAUAGAGCCUUUUGUACUCAUAAGUUUUAGCCAUUAGAUCUACCUUUUAAUCAUUUUCAUCCGUUAGAUUAUACUAUUCAACUAACCACCCACUCAACCCUAGAGGACCCACUAUCAACCUAACCGUAACCACUCUCAUCCUAGCCGCACAUUUUUUCAUCCGAACGUCCGAAAACUUAUGAGUACAAAGGGCUCUAUACUCAUAUGAGUAUAGUAGCCCUAGCCAUAUAUAU
Molecule: long non-coding RNA, 244 nt
Filed under: Ananas comosus (pineapple)
Lineage: Eukaryota; Viridiplantae; Streptophyta; Magnoliopsida; Poales; Bromeliaceae
Description: long non-coding RNA (ACOM_LNC022463)
Source: RNAcentral